This 494-nucleotide ribosomal RNA is filed under the name uncultured bacterium. Its description in RNAcentral is "partial 16S ribosomal RNA". It matches the Rfam family "Bacterial small subunit ribosomal RNA", at positions 28 to 507 of the family's 1533-position model. The record is from RNAcentral.
GACGAACGCUGGCGGCGUGCCUAAUACAUGCAAGUAGAACGCUGAAGGAGGAGCUUGCUUCUCUGGAUGAGUUGCGAACGGGUGAGUAACGCGUAGGUAACCUGCCUGGUAGCGGGGGAUAACUAUUGGAAACGAUAGCUAAUACCGCAUAAUAGUAGAUGUUGCAUGACAUUUGCUUAAAAGGUGCAAUUGCAUCACUACCAGAUGGACCUGCGUUGUAUUAGCUAGUUGGUGGGGUAACGGCUCACCAAGGCGACGAUACAUAGCCGACCCGAGAGGGGGGCGGGCCCCCCUGGGAUUGGGGACCGGCCCCAACCCCUCCGGGGGGAGCCGUGGGGGAAUUUUGGGCAUGGGGGGGAAGCUGGCCGCGCCACGCCGCGGUGGGGGAGAAAGUUUUCGGGUCGUUAAAGUCUGUUGUUAGGGAAGAAAGAGUGUGAGGGUCGAAAGUUCACACUGUGACGGUAUCUUACCAGAAAGGGACGGCUAACUACGUG